UAGGGUGCGUUUGGUUGGUACGAUCUAGAACAGGAUCGAACAGCUGGUGCACAUGGAGCAGCCUCAUGCCAACCAAACGGUACUCCAGAAACAGAGCACAUUUUCGUGGAAAAAUGUUUGAAACUUGAAAAUGUGUAUGGGUCACCAUGGUCACUUUGUACGGUACAACGAGUCCAACCCAAAAGCGUAUGCACGUGAUCAUUUGGGACCAAAAUCGAUGUUCCCGCCAGGUUUCACUGUGAAAAAGUGAAACUGCUCGGUCUGCUCUGGCCUCGAGGCCGGAGCAAGCAGAACAUGAUCGAACAGCUGGUGCACAUGGAGCAGCCUCAUGCCAACCAAACGCUACUCCAGAAACAGAGCACAUUUUUGUGGAAAAAUGUGCCGAACUUGGUGCAUUCUUCAAAAUGUGUAUGGAUCACCAUGGUCACUUUAUACGGUACGACGAGUCCAACCCAAAAGCGUAUGCACGUGAUCAUUUGGGAACAAAAUCGAUGUUCCCGCCAGGUUUCACUGUGAAAAAGUGAAACUGCUCGGUCUGCUCCGGCCUCGAGGCCGGAGCAAGCAGAACAUGUUCUGGCCGACCCAGAACAGGUGCAGUCCCAACCAAACGCGCUGUUCUGGUGAAUCCUGUUCUAGUUCGUACCAACCAAACGCGCCCCAAUUGUCCUUGCACUGAAUGAUGGUCCUACAAUUUACGUGCACUCCACACUUUCUUUGCAGUUUCCUUUUUGUUAUACAGUUGAACAUCGAUUAUCCGCACAUCGACUAUCCGUAACAGUUUUUUUGGGCGCACGUGCCGUAGAGUACGCACUGUGCAUGUAGUGAGCCAUUCAAAAAAUACGAAAAUUUUGAAAAGUAAAAAG
Sycon ciliatum is the source of this 863-nucleotide long non-coding RNA. RefSeq lists it as uncharacterized. The record is from RefSeq and is a predicted model, not a curated record. NCBI's taxonomy places the organism in Eukaryota, Metazoa, Porifera, Calcarea, Leucosolenida, Sycettidae. The transcript has 2 exons.